RNAcentral lists this transfer RNA (76 nucleotides) under Nitrospirota bacterium. RNAcentral's name for it is "tRNA-Lys". It matches the Rfam family "tRNA". From Rfam's summary of the family: Transfer RNA (tRNA) molecules are approximately 80 nucleotides in length. Lineage: Bacteria; Pseudomonadati; Nitrospirota. The record is from RNAcentral.
GGGCCGUUAGCUCAGUUGGUAGAGCAGCUGACUCUUAAUCAGCGGGUCGAAGGUUCGAGACCUUCACGGCCCACCA